Molecule: ribosomal RNA, 468 nt
Filed under: uncultured bacterium
Lineage: Bacteria
Description: partial 16S ribosomal RNA
Rfam family: Bacterial small subunit ribosomal RNA
Source: RNAcentral
GACGAACGCUGGCGGCGUGCUUAACACAUGCAAGUCGAACGGAAAGGCCCUGCUUUGGUGGGGUGCUCGAGUGGCGAACGGGUGAGUAACACGUGGGUAACCUGCCCUUGACUGUGGGAUAACUACAGGAAACUGGGGCUAAUACCGGAUAGGAGCUCCUGCUGCAUGGUGUGGGUUGGAAAGUUUCGGCGGUUGGGGUUGGACUCGGGGCUUCUCAGCUUGUGGGUGGGGUAGUGGCUUACCAAGGCUUUGACGGGUAGCCGGCCUGAGAGGGUGACCGGCCACAGUGGGACUGAGAUGCGGCCCAGACUCCUACGGGAGGCAGCAGUGGGGAUUAUUGCACAAUGGGCGGAAGCCUGAUGCAGCAACGCCGCGUGCGGGAUGACGGCCUUCGGGUUGUAAACCGCUUUCGCCUGUGACGAAGCGUGAGUGACGGUAAUGGGUAAAGAAGCACCGGCUAACUACGUG